GGUAGCAAAUCAGUGACGUGGCAAAUAUUCGAUGCCAGCGAGGCCAUCUCGAACGUAUCGAAACCACGAAUCUUCUCCCUUCACGAAUCACAAAAAACCCUACCUGUCGCACUCCCUUGAUCCUUUUUCAUCGAAUCUGUAACUCCUUCAAAGGAGCUUGAAAUCGGCACCAGAGAUCCAUGGAGAGGAUCGUCGGAGAUAAGUACAAGUUAGGUCGCAAAAUUGGAAGCGGAUCAUUCGGUGAAAUCUUUCUCGCUACGCAUGUGGAUACACAUGAAAUUGUUGCUGUAAAAAUGGAAAAUAGGCAAACCAAGCACCCACAAUUGCUUUAUGAAGCCAAGCUAUACAAUUAUCUCCAGGGAAUAGUUGGAAUUGCUAGCAUCCAUUGGUCUGGGGUUGAUGUUGAGGACAAUGUUCUUGUUCUUGACCUUCUUGGGCCUAGUCUUGAGGAUCUAUUUGUUUAUUGUGGAAGAAAAUUCUCAUUGAAAACAGUUUUAAUGUUAGCUGAUCAAAUGCUUACAAGAAUAGAACUGAUGCAUGCUAAAGGAUUUCUACAUAGAGACUUGAAACCAGAUAAUUUUCUCAUGGGUCUAGGCAGGAAAGCAAAUCAGGUCUAUGUUAUUGACUUUGGACUUGCUAAAAGAUACCGUGAUCCCACCACAAGUUGCCAUAUUCCUUACAAAGCAAACAAAAACUUGACAGGAACUGCACGUUAUGCUAGCUGUAAUACCCAUUUGGGAAUUGAACAAAGUCGGCGUGAUGACUUGGAGUCUUUGGGUUAUGUUUUCUUGUACUUUUUGAGAGGAAGUCUUCCAUGGCAGGGUCUAAAAGGUGCAACAAAGAAGCAAAAAUAUGACAAAAUAUGUGAAAAGAAAGUAUCAACUCCUAUUGAGGUUUUAUGCAAGAAUCAUCAUGUGGAGUUUGCCUCUUACUUCCAAUAUUGCAGAUCUUUAACAUUUGAUCAAAGACCUGAUUAUGGAUUCUUGAAGCGCCUUUUUCGUGACUUAUUUACACGAGAAGGAUUUGAUUUUGAUUAUGUAUUUGAUUGGACAAUCUUAAAGCAUCAGCAGUCAGAAAAGAAUAAACCACAGAAUCACUCAACUAGUCGAGCAGUUCCUGGUGUGAUUAAUAGACCGAUGCCAGUUCAUUCAAAUAAGCGCCAAGGGGUAAAUGAUGAUUCCUACCAAAUUGGGGCAACAGAUCGCAGAAGAUCAAGCAAUAUGAUGAUGACUCGUCCUAAUGAAAAUAUUUCACUUGGGAAACACUUGACUAGUCCUACACCAAAGGCGUCUACCUCAUUCUCAAUGGGUGGCAACUUUGUUAAACCGGAUGAACCAAUUGACCCGACAAAAGCGACCCGCGGGUCGACUAGUUGGAUCCGAUCCUUACACCGUAAUCGGUAACGAGAACAGGAUCUGGAUUUUACUUGAAUUGGAAAUUAAAAAAAAAAGUUAAUUGCUUGGAAUUUGGAUGCAUCUGCUCAGGAUCACUUCACAUGUACCAGAGUUGUUGCGAAUGUGUAUGCCCUAACCCGUAUCAGCUUGUUGUAUAAAAUACAUGUUAAAUGGAUUUUGGUGGAAGAUGGUGGAUUUAUGGUUGUGGGUUGGUUGGAAAGCAAUUGUGAUGCGAGAUUUUAAGUAGAAGUAGCAGGAUGCAAGGCAAAGGGUUGGAAGAUUUGGUUAUAUAUAGUUUUAAUUACUCCUACUGCUGAAUCAAUGGAAAGCUUUAAAAUCUGUGUUGAUCAUGAAUGAAAUUCGUUGAAUGAAGCACAAACAAAAACGAAUAUGAUCAUGAUCAAUGAUCAUAUGGUAAAAUAUGACACAAUAUUGCAGUUGCUUGUGAAGGUGGCUGGCCUCAUGUACAAAGUAAAAACACAAGCAGCACAGGUGAAUUUCCUGUCUUUCUUUUUUUACAGCCUUUAAAAAUUGUUGUAACCCAUUUUAUAGGUGUUUAGGGUUUGAUUUUUGUAUUCAUCUGUAACUAUAAAGUUGAAUAGUGAAGCAAGUUAGGGUGUAAACAAGCCGAGCUCGAGCUUGGGAUUGAGCUGGUUUAAUAAAUGAGCCUGAGCUCGAGCCGAGCCGAGCUUUUAAUGAGCCAAUCCCGAGUAGCUCACAUGUAGUUAAAGCUCGUUUACACUCCUAGAAGCAAGCGACAAGUAGAUGCGUUAGUGAGUUAUGUUGUGACCAAUAUAAAAAAAUAUCAACGUUAUUAGCAUCCUAAUAUUUUAAUUUACUGGUGUUAGGGCUAAAAA
Lactuca sativa (garden lettuce) is the source of this 2251-nucleotide RNA transcript. It is a transcript of the gene named casein kinase 1-like protein 3, with no coding region annotated. The record is from RefSeq and is a predicted model, not a curated record. Lineage: Eukaryota; Viridiplantae; Streptophyta; Magnoliopsida; Asterales; Asteraceae.